RNAcentral lists this ribosomal RNA (274 nucleotides) under uncultured bacterium. Its description in RNAcentral is "partial 16S ribosomal RNA". It matches the Rfam family "Bacterial small subunit ribosomal RNA", at positions 523 to 796 of the family's 1533-position model. The record is from RNAcentral.
AUACGGAGGGGGCUAGCGUUGUUCGGAAUUACUGGGCGUAAAGCGCGCGUAGGCGGCACGCAUAGUCAGAGGUGAAAGGCCUGGGCUCAACCUGGGAACUGCCUUUGAUACUGGCGAGCUUGAGUCCGGGAGAGGGUAGCGGAAUUCCCAGUGUAGAGGUGAAAUUCGUAGAUAUUGGGAAGAACACCGGUUGCGAAGGCGGCUACCUGGCCCGGUACUGACGCUGAGGUGCGAAAGCGUGGGGAGCAAACAGGAUUAGAAACCCCUGUAGUCC